GCCGAUAUAGCUCAGCUGGUAGAGCAACUGACUUGUAAUCAGUAGGUCCCGGGUUCGACUCCUGGUGUCGGCACCA
Molecule: transfer RNA, 76 nt
Filed under: Gammaproteobacteria bacterium
Lineage: Bacteria; Pseudomonadati; Pseudomonadota; Gammaproteobacteria
Also listed under: 1 other name
Description: tRNA-Thr
Rfam family: tRNA
About the family: Transfer RNA (tRNA) molecules are approximately 80 nucleotides in length. Their secondary structure includes four short double-helical elements and three loops (D, anti-codon, and T loops).
Source: RNAcentral